This is a non-coding RNA of Camelina sativa (false flax), 2704 nucleotides long. The record is from RefSeq and is a predicted model, not a curated record. NCBI's taxonomy places the organism in Eukaryota, Viridiplantae, Streptophyta, Magnoliopsida, Brassicales, Brassicaceae.
CUCUUCUUCGCUUUAUUGAUGACAACAAACAGAGUCAGAGAGAGACACUCUUCUUCACCACCUGAAAGAGAAAAAAAAAAAAAGAAAAGAGAGAGAAGAGGGUUCGUUCUAAUGUCGACGAGGAACCUGAAGCAGAUUGCUUCAGGUAGAGAGCGUUGGUUGUUACGGCGACUAGGGUAAACACGCCUGAAGGAAUAAGAAGAUAUAGCAAGAGAGAGUUGUUACGGCGACUAACUAGGGUUAACAUGUAUUGAACAAAUCAGAGUCUGAUGAUUCUACUGAUGGAUGCUGGUCUUUUUGACAAUCCCCUGACUCAUUCAACACGAUGUUCCUUGUCUUCGUCCGCUUCAAGUUCCCCUCCACAGACAACCUCACAACAGAUAUGAGAGAGGUGAUGAUGCACACUAUAUGACACAGCAACAACAACGAUGGAAUAUGUGGAAUUAUGAUGCAGCUUGUGUGGUAAAGUUAUAGCAGAACCGUGGACAACACGCUUAUUAUGCCCUGCCCUGUGGCUCAUCCCCAAACCAGUUGGAGAUGUUACAUGUCCUCCUAAAGAAAUCUCCCUGGAAAUAUGAUUCUACUGAUGGUCUUUGAUAGUCUCAACUCCAUACGGCUUCCUUCUCCACAGAAUUGGAGCUCAAAGUCCAACAAAAAUGCCACUACUUCCCAUGACAGGAACUUUUUUGGUAAACUGAGUUUGGAAUGCUUCUUGAAGGUAUGUGUGGAGCCUGGAAGGAGCUGAAUGGCUAUCAUCUCUCGUGUUAGCUAUAGCCUGCGAAAAGUGAUCAUUGUUUGAAUUACUGCAGCAUGGACAAGUUGUUUUUGUAACAGAUUGGAGCUCAAAGUCCAACAAAAUCGUCUCUGCUUCCCAUGACAGGAACUUGUAAGUUUCAAGCUUUGAUAUACUGAGCGAAAAAUUCUUUAUAGAAUCGGGGAUGAUGCACUAUAUGAGCAGCAACUACAACGAUGGAAUGCGGAUCAUCUCAAAACCAGUUUCAGUCCAAAAGGCCAUGCGGAUCAUCUCAAAACCAGUUUCAGUCCGAAAGAUGUGGAGUAAUUGAAUAUGAUGCAGCUUUUGGAAAGGUUAUCAUAGAACCGUGGACAAUACUUAUGCCCUCACCUGUAGAUCAUCUCAAAACCAGUUGGAGAUGUUACGUUUGUCCUCCAAAAGCUCAAUUGGUUCCUACAAUAGCUUUCCAGGUCUCUGUGUGUCAAAUGUAAAUGGAAUAUUGGGUGGUGGCUUACUAGCAGCUGGAUUAUAUUCGAAUUGUGUUGUUACAGAAUGAGGAGUGAUACACACUAUAUGAUGCAGCAACAACAACGAUGGUGAAUGAAAAUUUAAUAUCCUUUUUCUUAAUCUCGAUGUAAAGUUAUUGACAACCAGCUUGUGUAACGUUAUCAUAAAACCGUGGACAAACACACUUAUCCCCUGCCUCCCUGUGGAUCAUCCCAAAAACCAGCUGGAGAUGUUACAUGUCCUCCAAAAGGUGAAACCUUUUUCGUCUCCACAGACAGAAAUCGGGGAUGAUGCACUAUACGACGCUGCAACAACAACGAUGGAAUGAAAACUUAAUAUCCUUUUUCUCGAUCUCUGUAAGUGAUUCAUAUAUUUGUUCAUUCUCAACUUACAAUAAUCACUAAUUGUUUGAAUCGCUGCUGCAGUAUGUCCAAAUUCACGUGUAUAAGUGAAAAUACUAUAUAUUUUCUCAGUUCCAGAUUUUAUAUGCAACACGUUUUUUUUCCAACUCAAUUGGUUCAUACUAUAGCUUUCCAGGUCUCUGUGUGUCGAAAGUAGAUGGAAUUUUGGGUGGUGGUUUACUCGCUGCUGGAUUAUAUUUGAAUUGAAUUGUUACAUGAGGCUUCCUUCAACAUUGGCGAAUCUGUAGAGGAUGGAGAUAUUGAUUCAGGAUGCUAACGCAAAGGCGACAACAAAUAUCAGACUUCCACUGGAGACCUCUGAGAUUGAAAGAAGAAUAUGUUGAAGGUUUGGUGUAAUCCCCAACCGUCAUUGAAGAAUCAGUUUCUGAACAGCUAAUAGGCGCAUUGAGUCAAGCUGCCACAAAGUUGCAGCAGCUUCCUGCUCUUGUACUUUAGCCAGCGGUGUUAGAAAUCGCCUGAGCUUCAUCUUCCGUGGCCAAUGUUGAUGAGUGGAAGUGGAAGUUAGGCGUUCUGUUAGCGAACACGAAAUGGUUUCCAGAGACAAAAGGGAUCGAAGGGAUUUUGAGAAGAUUUUAAAUCUCGCCUAGAGAAUGGGACUGUACAGAAAAUUUUACUUAAAGAGGAGAAUGUGCAAUAUGCAGAAAAUUUUACUUAAAGAGCCUGUCAGGACAAAGAAAGACUUCUUUAAGCUAUUGCUCGGAACCAGGGUGAAGAUUUCUUAGUUAUAGUGUUAAAGGAGCGUCCAGAUCUAAGAUUGAUUCUCAUGACUGCCACUUUAAAUGCUGAACUUUUUUUUUCUAAUUAUUAUGGAGGGGCGCCUACCAGUCACAUUCCUGUUGAGGCAGUGUAUUGAGUGGUGGUGGGAGUGCUCAAAUUCCUGAGGCAACCGCUCAGAGUUGGGCUGAUAUGAUAAAUGAGUAUCAUAAGGGAGCUUUAGUGAGUCGUUUGGGGAUUCCUAUGAUACAUGGCAUUGAUGCCGUUCACGGGGCAUAACAAUGUCUAUAACGCUACUAUCUUCCCUCACAAUGUUGGUCUUGGAGCC